GACGAACGCUGGCGGCGUGCUUAACACAUGCAAGUCGAACGGAAAGGCCCUGCUUUUGUGGGGUGCUCGAGUGGCGAACGGGUGAGUAACACGUGAGUAACCUGCCCUUGACUUUGGGAUAACUUCAGGAAACUGGGGCUAAUACCGGAUAGGAGCUCCUGCUGCAUGGUGGGGGUUGGACAGUUUCGGCGGUUGGGGAUGGACUCGCGGCUUAUCAGCUUGUUGGUGGGGGAGUGGCUUACCAAGGCUUUGACGGGUAGCCGGCAUGAGAGGGUGACCGGCCACAUGGGGACUGCGAUACGGCCCAGACUCCAACGUGAGGCAGCAGUGGGGAAUAUUGCACAAUGGGCGGGAGCGUGAUGCGGCGGCGCCGCGUGUGGGAUGACGGCCUUCGGGUUGUAAACCGCUUUCGCCUGUGACGAAGCGGUAGUGACGGUAAUGGGUAAAGAAGCACCGGCUAACUACGUG
RNAcentral lists this ribosomal RNA (468 nucleotides) under uncultured bacterium. Its description in RNAcentral is "partial 16S ribosomal RNA". It matches the Rfam family "Bacterial small subunit ribosomal RNA", at positions 28 to 507 of the family's 1533-position model. The record is from RNAcentral.